GUAUUUGAAGUAAGACCUGCUCACUGUUAUUUUUUUUUUAAAGAGCCGCUUAUUGUGCUAAGGUAGCAAAAUAGUUUGUCUUUUAAUUUAAGUCUAGAAUGAAUGGUUUUACGUAAAAAUUACUUUUUUUUUUUAUUUUUAAAAUUUUAUGUUUAAGUGAAAAAUCUUAAAUUUUAUUAAAAGACGAUAAGACCCUAAGAGCUUGUUUUAUAGUAAUUAUUUAAUAUAAAUAAAUUAUAUUUAUUUUAAUAAUCUUAAAUUUGAUUGGGGAGAUUGCUAAAUAAAUUUUUAAAUAACUUUAGUUUUAUUUAUUCUUAUAUAAGUUUUUUAGAUCUAUUUAUAAGUGAUUGGAUGUUGAAAGUUACCUUAGGGAUAACAGGGUAAUCUAAUUUUAAAGUUCUUAUUAAAAGUUGGGUUUGCUACCUCGAUGUUGAAUUAAGAUAAAAUGAAAAGGAAGGUUUUUUUGUUUUAGGGUCUGUUCGACCUGUAAUAUCUUACGUGAUCUGAGU
RNAcentral lists this ribosomal RNA (509 nucleotides) under Dipterosaccus shiinoi. Its description in RNAcentral is "partial 16S rRNA". The stretch from base 372 to 509 matches the Rfam family "Archaeal large subunit ribosomal RNA", at positions 2542 to 2679 of the family's 2987-position model. The record is from RNAcentral. Lineage: Eukaryota; Metazoa; Arthropoda; Thecostraca; Peltogastridae.